CUUCGACUUCAAUUGUUGUGAUUCAUGAAUACUGCAUCUGCAGAAUGCAUAUCUUACAGGUUGUUGGGUAAAUGUCAAGAUAGUAAAAGACCUGGAUGCUUCAUACCUUGUAUGCAGUUGUCUCAUGUAAGAGGGUCUUGUGGAGUUUUCAGAAUAGAGAAAUAAUGGGCAAAAGAUGCAGAAUAAAGGGCAAAAACAUAAAGAAUAGAGAAUAAUGGGCAAAAUAGAUAAAGAAUAGAGAACAAUGGUAUAAAAAAAGAAUGAAGAAAUGAAAUGGUCUAUUUCGCAGAUACUAUAAGCAAUAGGGCCUCUAUAUUUGGUGUAUGCAAUUAUUGUAGUGUACAUGUCUGCCAAGCAGGUUUCAAAGCAGCUGUGUUUGUUUUUGUAAUGCCGAUAUUAUUAAGUGAGCUAGUGGAAAUUGGUAGUAAGAACAGAGCCAACCUAGUCGACUCGGAGUCAGAGUAAUGUGUCUGGGAGGGUGACAUAUCAUCUUGUGAACUAUUACUUAGUGAACCAACACGUUAAAAUCCGGCUCAGCGUGUCCGUCUGUACAAUGCAUGGUUUCAUAUGCAUAUACCAUUAACCUGUUCACAUCCUGAUACUCAUGUAUCUGUAGCUGGACGUUAAACAACAAUUCAUUUAUCUACCUUUGCAGCUGGACGUUAAACACGAAUCCAUCUAUCUACUUGCAGCUGGACGUUAUACAACAAUUCAUCUAUCUAUCUUUGCAGCUAGACUUUAAACACCAAUUCAUCUAUAUUCCUUUUGUUCUUCCACUGAUUGAGAGAGGAGCACUAAGAAACCAGUUUUAACCCAUCAAAUGUAAACAAGCCUGUCCCAACUCAGAAACAUCGUCAGUGAUCUUACUGUGUUGUGUACUUUAAAGACGUAACUGUUAAUGACAGAUUUUUGAAAGUAAAUACUAAAUCUAUUGAAGACUUGUCUAGACUAAGGAUGAUUUAGAACUUGACAUAUGAUAUAAAUACUGCCUAUUGUUGAAGACCAUACGUUAACUUUUAGGUUUCUGAUUCGGUUUUUAUUGUGUUGUUAGAGUGCUGUUUCAUUGACAUAUAUUUCAAACCUUUCACUCAUAUUGACACGUAACACUGGAUUAGUCCUUGGAAAUUACUCUACAAGUUGUGGAUGAAGCUAUACAAAUGAGUCUGCUACCAAACUGCUGAGAAAGGCAAAUGGAAAAGUUAUUUUCAGGCUGAAUUCUUUAAAUUUUAAAUAUAACUUAUGUUGAAUUUAUUACAUAAUGUUUAUAUCCAAUGUUUAUUUUUAACAAUGCACUGGGACAUAUCCAAAUAAUUUAAAUCUAAAUUCUUCGCAGCCCACUAAUUAAUCUAUCAUUUCACUAAAUUGUAAUGCCAAAUACUCUGAUAAAUAUUUAGUUUACGAGAAAUUUUAAAAUUACAUGUUGAUAAACGAGCAUGAGAGAUUAACAAGAUUGCACUGAAAUUCUAUUUUUAUUUAUUAAGUGGAAAGGUUUAGCUUUUUGUUAUUUUGGUAUAUAUAUAUAUAUAUAUAUAUAUAUAUAUAAAUAUAUACAUGUAUAUAUAGUCUUACUGGUUAAGAUUACCGGCCAUCGGUAAGGCAGAUACAAAAUAGAAUUGAAUGCUAUUUUUUGUAAUUUAUACGAUAUGAAAGCAAGUGACCAUCACAUUUUGCACGAAGCGCUGAAAAUGUGAUAUUAGCUUAUAUUUACAUAUUCCUAAAACAAACAAAAAAUAUAGGUAAUUCACGUUUUCAAUCUGAAUUAAAAACUUUAAACGCAAGACUUCGACAAAAAUUGUCUAAUGAGAUGAAAGCAGUACCAUUCCAUGAAAUCAACUAUAAUACGUCAUAUAGCUAAAAUUGGCUUACUGGUAUCAAAGUAGAAAUCUCCACAUCUGAUAAGGGCAUAAACUGCGUCAUCUCCAUAUAUAAACUACCAUUCCUGUAUUCUUCAUAUGUGCCUAAAGCUUAUUUCCAAAGACGACAUUUGUCAUUGCUGGUGUACAAGAUAAAGAGGACAAUUGAUACAUGUAUGGAUGUAAAAUUAAAAGAGGUACUAGAG
Mytilus californianus (California mussel) is the source of this 2059-nucleotide long non-coding RNA. RefSeq lists it as uncharacterized. The record is from RefSeq and is a predicted model, not a curated record. Lineage: Eukaryota; Metazoa; Mollusca; Bivalvia; Mytilida; Mytilidae. The transcript has 3 exons.